AAGGAUAUGCUGCUACAAUUAGACUCUGCGUAUCUAUGAAUAUGUUGCUUCCAAAUCUGCAUUUAUCUCUCUGCAAUAUGCUCAUUUUCUAUAUAGUUUUAAAGUUUACAUCUCAUGUAUAUUUAUUGUAUACCUCUCAUGUGUUUUUUCCUGGAUUUUACUUUAGGAUGUGUGUGCUAAUGUGUAGAGAUUGAACGGAAUCUGCUUAGACUAUUUAUUGGGUUCGGCACUAAUAAAUCAUAAAUCAUGGUAUGAGACUAUGGGUAUACUUUUAUAGUUUACUUAAUUUUCUACCCCCAUUGAUAUAGCAUAUCCUCUUUGUAUUAUCUCACAGGAUUCUUUACUAGCAGUUAAAAUAUCCUAUACAAUCUGGAAAAGAGAUAGCUUAAAUGGAUGCAUGUUUUCUCAAAUUAGGUUUGCCCCUACUGUGUUUAUUAAUGCGAUGCUUCCUUCCAUGACUAAACAAGCUGAUGUUUGGUGAAUCCUUUAUAGUCUUGCAUUGUGAAAUUAGUUCGUGUGUCUUGCUAUGGUCAAUUCCUAUGUAUGUAUUGUUUUGUUUCUGUGGUUUUAACUUAUGUACGCCAAUGCAGUGAGAGCUCGGUGUCGUAUCCGCUGGCUGAGUGGCAAGCUGGAGCUGCAGGUCGCUGAACAUGGUGGUCCUACUGUGAGGAUCUCGUGUAUCAUUCUGUGUGUGUAUCUCUCAGUCCCGUUCCCCUUUAUGGUCAUCAUUCAUGCCUGUAGGGAUCACUAAGAUUUUUCUUGGUUUUGUUGUUGUCGAUUGCUGUGAUUGUUACUGCAAUAGUGGAUCAUAUAUAUACACUUGGCAACUCAGUUUAGGAUAUCGCUUGGUGGCCAGAAGGAGGCGAGCGACAGCCCCACCGUUGAACCACUCGUUGAUGACGCCGGCGGCGACGACCGGAUCCUGGGCGUCCCCUCCCCUUCCCGUCAGAUCCGUCAAGGUCCAGUGGACGGCAGGGACCAUCUCCGGUAGCCGGUAGGUCCUCUCUCCAGCUCACCUUCCCCCACCGCCCCUUCAUGGCACUGCUGCUUUGUCUUGCUGGACCUGCGUGCUCGUUCGUCGCCUGACCGCGUCAUGGCGGUGCUGCUUUCUCUUACCGAAAAAGGCUUCCGCCCCGCUUUAUAUAUAAAGCAAAGAUCCACAGUGCCCGAUACAACCGCACUCACCCACCACAAACACACACACGCACCCAAGGCAGGAUACAUAGGCGCUGAGCGCAGCAACACACACCCUAGCACUACAUGAGCCGCCGGGCGCUUCAUCCGAAGAAGGGAAGCCGCAUAUGACGAACCGUGGGCUCCAAAGCGGUGCCUUCAGGAAGGAUACGGCACCGGAGCGUCGCCACUGCCCGAUCCGAGGAUCAGAGUUUCCCUUGGAGCACCACGACGGGCAGUGAUAGCCGCGACGACGCCUUCAAGAAGGGAGCGAUCUUCGCCGUCGCCAGUCCGUCCGAAGAUAGAGAGGUUUUCACCCCGGCCAACAUUCACCGCCACCGAACGCCACACCCCGGCUACCACGCCGCCCACACGGCCGUAGUAGCCGGGCAGCACCGAGGCACGAGCUCUGCCCAAGAGCACCGCGCCACCACCACCAGGGCCGCCGCCCCGGAAUCCAAGACCUUGACACCGAGUCCCCCGAGCCCCACCGCAGAGACGGGCGGAAAGGAUCUGCCUUUCACACCCCUGGCCGGUCCCAACGCCGAGACCCAAUAGGCCGGCCACAACAAGCCUCCAUCGAGCCGUCCUGCUACACCGGGCGCGAGACGAGCGCAGUCCUGCCGCCGGACGCGAGACGGGCCGGUCCUGCUGCCGGGCGCGAGACGAGCGCAGUCCUGCUGCCGGGCGCGAGACGAGCCGUUCCUGCUGCCGGGCGCGAGACCAGCUCGGUCCUACGUCACCGGGUGCGAGACGGAUGAUGGACCGCAGCCGGGAGAAGGCCAGCCCUUCGGUGAGAGAAGCGAACGGACGCCAAGGAGAGGGGUCGAAGGCCGAUACAGGCAGCCUACAGACGGACCGACGCCAGGAAGAUCUGGGAUCUGGCCGCCGCCGCAAUCAACCUGCCACCACCACCGGCAGCAGCUAGUGCGCCGCCGUGGCCCACGGACAUGGCCACGACCACAUCCGGUCGCAGCCCGCCCCGCGCCGCCCUUCGCCCCCACGCCCGCCAGACCAGAAUGGUGCUGGACGGGGCCGCCGCCGCCAAGCACGCACCACCGCCCCCGCUGCCACGGACGACCACCGCCGGACCCCACGGCGCCGUCCGCAGUCCUCGCAGCCCGCGUCGCGACGCGGCUAUAUCUGGCGGAGCUGCGUUGACCCGCACCAUCCGCCACCACCGGCCGCCCAGCACGCUCCGCCACCACGACGCCCGUCGCGCAGCCAGCAAGAGGUCGUCGCCGCACAGCUCCGGCUCCCCGCCACGCCGCAGCGCCCGCCGCCAGCGCCGCACCCCAGCCCGGCCGCCCCGUCCCGCAUCAGGGCCCCGCGCGAGAGGACGAGAUCUCCCCGCCGGCACCAGCCGCGCUUCGCCCGGCUGCGCCCCCUGGCGGCGGCGAGGGAGGGAGGAGAGGAGGGGGAGCCCCGGCUGCGGUGACUAGGGUUCCCUCCUGGCCGCCCGCGGGGGGGACGCAGGAGGGUCGCGUAUCCUCCUUGAGACAACAGCUCCCAUGCCGUCAGCGGCCCCGUGUGUGUCGUGCUCGUGGACAGCUCUUGCGUGCGUCCUGAUCGUGGCCGGCGCUUGCUGCUAUUUUUGCUGUGUGCCGUGUGUUGCUACUGCUGCUGCUUGCCGGCCGUUGCGCACGUCCUACUUGUGGCCGGCCUUGCUGCUCAUGGCCUACAAUUUCUGCUAUUGUUGUUUUGUGCCUUACUGCUCCUGCUGUUGUUUGUUAUGCUCCCACUGAAUUAUAUAUUUUUUGUGCAGAUGACGGAGCCGCCACCCUCCCGAGGCUCCCUUUGUCUAUAUAAUGACUCUGACAUUGUGUGUCUAUGAUGUGAUGACUUAUCCUGUUGGUUUACUUUUGCCAAAAAUGCUACUUUGCUUUUUGUAUGAUUGAUUGCGUUGCCCUUUGGCAUUGCUUGGAGGGAUGUUAUGUAUUGGGCACAAAUUAUGUUAUAUAUAAAGGCAAUGCUGUACUUUUGAUGUAAUUUCAAUACAUUUAACUGAUCCACUACUGUCGCAACAAUAGAUAUGUUGUUUAUACGUCCGGGCAAUGUGUUGAGCCAUACGUCUGACAAAG
This 3254-nucleotide long non-coding RNA is filed under the name Triticum aestivum (bread wheat). RNAcentral describes it as "long non-coding RNA (TAES_LNC000711)". The record is from RNAcentral. Lineage: Eukaryota; Viridiplantae; Streptophyta; Magnoliopsida; Poales; Poaceae.